GUUUAACCGUAGAAAUCAUAUUUCCUUAUUUCAGUUCAUCAGAAAAUUAACAAUUCACAUCAUAUUUCUGAAAUAUGCGAAGUCUGUGUGUUGAAAAGUUAUAAUAGAUAGUUCUGUACCAUUAAGAUGAAACUGAAAUCUUAAAAAAAAGAAGACUAGUUUCAGAUUAUUACUGUUGUAGAAUUUUCUAAAAUUGACCACUAAUAUAAAUGUAACUAUGAAUUAUGAAUAUGAU
Molecule: long non-coding RNA, 235 nt
Filed under: Mytilus galloprovincialis (Mediterranean mussel)
Lineage: Eukaryota; Metazoa; Mollusca; Bivalvia; Mytilida; Mytilidae
Source: RNAcentral